GCCCCCGUAGCUCAGUGGUCAGAGUGCUCGCCUUUUAAGCGAUGCGACGCGAGUUCGAAUCUCGCCGGGGGCA
RNAcentral lists this transfer RNA (73 nucleotides) under Actinomycetes bacterium. RNAcentral's name for it is "Actinobacteria bacterium tRNA-Lys". It matches the Rfam family "tRNA". From Rfam's summary of the family: Transfer RNA (tRNA) molecules are approximately 80 nucleotides in length. Their secondary structure includes four short double-helical elements and three loops (D, anti-codon, and T loops). Further hydrogen bonds mediate the characteristic L-shaped molecular structure. tRNAs have two regions of fundamental functional importance: the anti-codon, which is responsible for specific mRNA codon recognition, and the 3' end, to which the tRNAs corresponding amino acid is attached (by aminoacyl-tRNA synthetases). tRNAs cope with the degeneracy of the genetic code in two manners: having more than one tRNA (with a specific anti-codon) for a particular amino acid; and 'wobble' base-pairing, i.e. permitting non-standard base-pairing at the 3rd anti-codon position. The record is from RNAcentral. Lineage: Bacteria; Bacillati; Actinomycetota; Actinomycetes. RNAcentral also lists the same sequence under 1 other name.